GUUGUUAGCUGAUAUCCAUGGCAGCUGCAGUGGCAGGUAAUGUCUUACAAUAACAGAAUGCAGGAGAGCACAUAUCAAUGAAGAAAAGACAAAAUGUACUUAUCCAUGAAGCUGAGGUUAAGAAACCAGUGUCUUCAAGAGCCAGGGACAGCACUGGGUCUGUGCAGAGUUGAGAGAUGGUGAUGACAUGUGGUUUCCAGCAUUC
Long non-coding RNA from Homo sapiens (human), 205 nucleotides. Ensembl annotates it as MAGI2 antisense RNA 3. Its record names the gene MAGI2-AS3. Lineage: Eukaryota; Metazoa; Chordata; Mammalia; Primates; Hominidae. The record is from Ensembl.